Molecule: long non-coding RNA, 1105 nt
Filed under: Monodelphis domestica (gray short-tailed opossum)
Lineage: Eukaryota; Metazoa; Chordata; Mammalia; Didelphimorphia; Didelphidae
Description: lncRNA (ENSMODG00000050872.1)
Source: RNAcentral
AGAUUAUAUUUUGUUGAUGUAUUAUACUUAAUGAUUUAAUCAACUAAUGACUGGAACUAUCUCUUACUAUUAAAUCAACACUUUUACAACCUAAUAAUCCCAUUAAUAGACCAAUAAGAAUUCCUAAUGAAUGGUAAUAGUUCCAAAUCAACAAUCAACAUCAUCAUCUUUCAGUGGCCUGUAUAAUCUUUCCAUAGACUAUACGUAUGUUAUCGUGCCCUACAUAUUUCCAUGUUCAUCAUGUUGUGAAAAAAGACACAACACUUUGACUAGAGAAGUAUAAAUAGUCACAGGGAAGAUAAAUGUAGUCACAGGGCAGUGGGUUGUUACGCCCUUUUCAGAAGCAAUGGUAAUUGAUAGGAUUAUUUUUCCUGGAGUAAGAUGUGCAAAGUGGUUGGGAAGAAUUUGGAGAUCAAUAGCAGAAAAGUUGGUAAGAUGCCUGGGCAGUUAAAUGGGAUAUAUAUAGCAUGGUCUGGAUCUGAAGGGCAAAUUAGCCUAAUUUGUAUUCAAUUAUUUGGCCUGGGAGUGACUGCCCAAAUCAUAACUUUUUUUCCUGACCAUCAUAUAUCCUUAUGAAUUGUGACAAUUGUAAUAGGGAAUUAUUUAAGUAGAAAUGAUAAUUCAAGAUCAGAUCUGCCAAUCUCCUCCCUUCCUCCCCCCAGUUUACCUUCCUCCUUGUUCCUCCUCCUCCCUUUCUCCCUCCCCUUCCAGUUGUGAAAUCUCCUCCCUUCCUCCCUUUCCUCCCUUCACCCUACCUAUUUACCUUCCUCUUUCUUCCUCCCUCCCCUUCCAGUUGCUUCUUCUGUUGGUCUCUUUAAAGUCAACUCACAAUGGCAAAGCAGCACAUGAUACCAAAAUAUAUACUGUUGGCAUAUAGUGAUGCCCUAAUGAUAUGACAAGAAGCUCUGCAUAAAUUAAAUUCAAAGAGUAAUGGGUGACUAAUAAGAGGAAGAACUAUGAGAGUUUUGCUUAUAUUCUAUCAAAAAAAGGAAAAAGUAAUUAGCAGUUGUCAUAUUUAAUAUACAGCCUACUAUCUUUGGGAGACAACCAGGGUAUCAUUUCAUGUUUUAAUAAAAGGUCUGAACAACUAGAAAAAUUUAUUUAU